GUAAACAUGACCCACAUGACCGAAGGACCGAAGUUUGAUCGCGAGCGUGGCCGAAUUUUGAUCGCGAAAUUUGGUCGCCCGCUGCGUUCUGUGGUCGCAUUAUGGUUCGAAUUCGUCGGCCCCGUGGGUUAACGAACAACCAGCUCAUUUUCACCACCGUACUGGGUCUGGCAUGUUCGGUCUAUAUCUGGUAUCCCUACAUUCAAGAACUGCGCCAGCUGCGAGCACAGGCUGCGGCCGCUGCAGCCGUCGAUGAUCAAGCACCCACCGAGGGAAAAUUGUGAUACUGUACGACGAUAGGUCGGAAGGACAUAGCCACGAGUAGGUCGCAGACGCUGAGAACAAUACAGUGAGCGGACGGACGGACGUUCAGGACGAUGAACAAGCAAAACGUUGGCUCUUACAAGAUGGCUCUUCCAUUUUUUGUUCUCUCUGAGGAUGUACCAUCCGGUGACUUUCUGACUGGAACAUGUCUCGGUUUGUGCAUGAAGCGAGCGCAACAGCGCCCUGAAGACCGACCUCCAAUACAUCUCUCUGCAGAGCGGAAAAUCUUUCCCUUUGUCUCUCUGCUUGGGAAAGACUUACUUGUACCAGCUACGUUGCGAACUUAUCUACAAUAAAGCAAGACUUCGCAACGACUAAUGAAA
Molecule: long non-coding RNA, 647 nt
Organism: Ixodes scapularis (black-legged tick)
Lineage: Eukaryota; Metazoa; Arthropoda; Arachnida; Ixodida; Ixodidae
Exons: 2
Source: RefSeq, a predicted model, not a curated record